UUUUGAUUGAUACUAGUACUUCACAUUCAUUUGUCUCACAUGCUUUUACACCAAAUUUGAAUGUAUUAGCUGAAAGACUUGAUUUUAUAUUGUUUGUGUCUACUCUGAGUGUAGGACACUAUUAGGGGAAGUUAUAUACAAAGCUUGAAUCAUAGAUAUACCAGAUAGAAAAUUGAGUGUGGACCUAAUAGAGAUUGACACGGGGAACUUUGAUGUAAUCCUAGGAAUGAACUAGCUAACGGCAUAUCACGCCACCGUAGAUUAUUUUCACUAGAAACUUGUAUUUAACCU
This 291-nucleotide long non-coding RNA is filed under the name Carica papaya (papaya). Its description in RNAcentral is "long non-coding RNA (CPAP_LNC003467)". Lineage: Eukaryota; Viridiplantae; Streptophyta; Magnoliopsida; Brassicales; Caricaceae. The record is from RNAcentral.